This 253-nucleotide ribosomal RNA is filed under the name uncultured bacterium. Its description in RNAcentral is "partial 16S ribosomal RNA". It matches the Rfam family "Bacterial small subunit ribosomal RNA", at positions 524 to 776 of the family's 1533-position model. The record is from RNAcentral.
UACAGAGGUCUCAAGCGUUGUUCGGAUUCAUUGGGCGUAAAGGGCGCGUAGGCGGGUUCGCAAGUCAGGGGUGAAAUCUUUCAGCUUAACUGGAAAACAGCCCCUGAUACUGCGAGUCUCGAGGGAGGUAGGGGCAUGUGGAACUUCCGGUGGAGCGGUGAAAUGCGUAGAUAUCGGAAGGAACGCCGGUGGCGAAAGCGACGUGCUGGACCUCUUCUGACGCUGAGGCGCGAAAGCUAGGGGAGCAAACGGG